Molecule: long non-coding RNA, 1092 nt
Filed under: Marmota monax (woodchuck)
Lineage: Eukaryota; Metazoa; Chordata; Mammalia; Rodentia; Sciuridae
Source: RNAcentral
CAUGAAGUGGAUCAUCAUAGUGCGUGUGUGCGUGUGUGCGUGUGUGCGUGUGUGUGUGUGUGUGUGUGGUGAGGAUUGAACCUAGGGCCCCACACAUCUGGCAAGGGCUCUACCACUGAGCCACAUCCCCAGCUCAAUGGUCAUUAUAACACAAGGGGACAGGUGUCCAUACGAUGCUUAGUGGAGAGACCCGGAUUUUUUUUUUUUUUUUAAACAAUGGCCUUCAACAGUGCAGACCCUGGAUCAUAGAAUAAUAAUAGAAAUGGAUCUUUAUCAACAUCCUGCUCACUUUUUAUCUUCACAACAAAUCCAAGGAAAAGGCAAUGGCUUCAGGUGACGGACUGAGGGGUGCAGAGGGAGAGUGUCCUUGGCAGGUGGAGCUGGGGCGGCGCCGGGCCCUGGGCUUCCAGGCCCUUGUCUUUGGAGCCCUGCCAUCACUGCAACAGCUGCCCACCACACAAGCUGGCUGUGUUGGCCAGGCCUCGGCUGCCCACUCAGCCCCCGGGGCUCUCGUGAAGCUUGACAAAUGAAGAAGGACAGAAUGGAGGCUCCCAGAGCGGGGCAAUGCCGAGAGGCUGUGAUGGCUGACUCCAGAUGCCUCCUCUGAUCUCAUCCUGUGUUCCUACCCCGGACUCCUGUGUGGAUAGGGCUGGCCUGUGUGACCAAGGGGCCUCUCAAGCAAGUGGUAGGCACACUGGAGUUGAGCACCCAGGCAGCUCUGUGGAGAAGCCCACUAGGGGUGACCAGGCCUCUCAGGGCCACCCAGCUCAUGCCAGACCACAGCAGCCUGUGAAGCUCUUGGAGCACUGCAGCCCCAGCUCCCGCAGGAAUGGACCCUUUUGAGAACCCCCAAGCCAGACUCACUCAGCUGAGCUCUCAAUCUUGACCCAGAGGAACCUGGAGGAUAGCCAAGGACCUACAUUGCUUCACGCCUCUAAGUUUUGAGGCAACUUGUUGCACAACAGCAGAGAAACUGAACCUCUUUCAAGGCCCCAUUUAUGGGCUCUGGGGACCUCAGUCAAACACUGAGAGGUGCUGGGGUUCAGGGGGCACUUUCAGUAUAUUUUCUUUUCUCCUCAAAGAAAUUAAUUU